Non-coding RNA from Danio rerio (zebrafish), 71 nucleotides. The record is from Rfam. NCBI's taxonomy places the organism in Eukaryota, Metazoa, Chordata, Actinopteri, Cypriniformes, Danionidae.
GCAUUGGUGGUUCAGUGGUAGACUUCUUGCAUGCCAUGCGGUAGACCUGGGUCCGAUUCCCGGCCAAUGCA